This 243-nucleotide ribosomal RNA is filed under the name uncultured bacterium. RNAcentral's name for it is "partial 16S ribosomal RNA". It matches the Rfam family "Bacterial small subunit ribosomal RNA", at positions 111 to 354 of the family's 1533-position model. The record is from RNAcentral.
UAACGCGUGGGUAACCUGCCUCAUACAGGGGGAUAACAGUUAGAAAUGGCUGCUAAUACCGCAUAAGCGCACAGUACUGCAUGGUACAGUGUGAAAAACUCUGGUGGUAUGAGAUGGACCCGCGUCUGAUUAGCUAGUUGGUGAGGUAAGGGCUCACCAAGGCAACGAUCAGUAGCCGACCUGAGAGGGUGAACGGCCACAUUGGGACUGAGACACGGCCCAAACUCCUACGGGAGGCAGCAG